RNAcentral lists this long non-coding RNA (3156 nucleotides) under Anolis carolinensis (green anole). Its description in RNAcentral is "lncRNA (ENSACAG00000044967.1)". Lineage: Eukaryota; Metazoa; Chordata; Lepidosauria; Squamata; Anolidae. The record is from RNAcentral.
AUGACACAGCAAACAAGAUACAUAUGCUGGAUUUCAUAUCACAAAAUCACAAGUCGAACACUUCCCAAGUGUCUAGGACUGUGUGAUGUAUUUUCGGAUGAUGCGCGCAGAUCCCAGCAGGGUGGCCUUUUGCAGUUGGCAGAUCGUAAUUUUGUCAAUGUCUAUUGUUUCCAAAUGCCGGCUGAGAUCUUUUGGCACGGCACCCAGUGUGCCCAUCACCACCGGGACCACCUGCACUGGUUUCUGCCAGAGUCUUUGAAGUUCAAUCUUGAGGUCCUGAUAGCGGCUGAGUUUUUUCUUAUUAUUAUUAUUACAAAUUAAGCACCGAAACAUCAUGUUAUACAACAAAUUUGAGACAAAGUAGUUCAUUACACAUUCAUGCUAUGUAGUAAUUACUGUAUUUACAAAUUUAGCACCAAAAUAUCACAAUGUAUUGAAAACAUUGACUACAAAAAUGCAUUGGAUAAUCCAGAAAGUUGGAUAAGUGAGUGUUGCAUAAGUGAGACUCUACUGUACUACACCCUCAGUUUCAAAAUAAACAAUGUAAACUUCAUUUAAACAAACUUCAAUUAAAUGCAAAUAGUUAUGUGCCUUCAAGCUGUCUCUGGGGUAUGGUGGUCUCUGGCAAGAUUUGUUCAGAGAUUUGUCUUUGCUUUCCUCUCAGGCUGUGUGAGUGUGACUUCCCAAGUUUGUUCAGAGGGUUUCUUUUGGCUGAGCAGGGAGUGGAACCCUGGUCUUCAGAAUUGUUCUCCAACACCCAAAACACUGCAUCACAAAUUCUCUCUAACUGCAUAGUACACAUAAAUUAAUCAAAUGCAGGAUUGAAUAAGUCAUGCCAGACUACACAGAGAAGCCAUUGAAAUCCACAAGCAUGUGGACAACUUCAACAGAAAGGAAGAAACCAUGAAAAUGAACAAAAUCUGGCUACCAGUAUUAAAAAACUCUAAAAUCAAAACAGUAGAUGGGAACCAACACUCUGAGGGCAGAGGACAGCUAAUGACUGAACAAAGGAUGCCCCCAGGCAAGAGACAAAACCUUUCCAAUGCUAAUUAGGGUGAUUAACUGAAGCAUUAAUGCUGGCUUCCCAGUGACAAAGGACUCUUGCCACACCCUGGACUCUACACAGAUAUAUAUUCUUUCCUUUCCUUAGUUUAUCCAUACCUCACAACCUCUGAGGAUGCUUGCCAUAGAUGUGGGCGAAACGUCAGGAGAGAACAUGAUUUUAAUUUCUGAAAUCUGUUUCUACUUUGUUAUUUGUGUUUAUUGUGCAUUUAGUCAUUGUUGCAGUGUGCCUGCAAGUUGUUUGCAAUCUAUAGGAAUCUAUAGCAUAGGGGAUUUUUUGGCAUUAUUUAUUUAGAAUAUGGAUUACCAUUGCCCUCUUUUGCAUCUGAGAGAGGAUGACUUGAAUAAGGCUGAAUGGGGAUUGAAUAAUAGAAUCAUAGAGUUGGAAGAGACCUUGUGGGCCAUCAAGUCCAACCCCCUCCAGCGUCAUAGACCAGUUCGCAAAUCACUACAGCAUUCUGGUUGUCCUCUGGGAAUAUACAGAGGAAAAAAACAUGUUUUUCUUCUCUUAAAAGAAGGACAGUUUCCUGCUCAUUGAAAGUUUGAAAGCAACUCCUGUGGGCAUGGAGCUGAAUUCUUUAUAUUUUGAUUAUUCUAAUAGUCCUUAUUUAAUACUUAUUAUCUUUUUCUUCCUUGGGGACCUGCAGCAUAUAUUUUAUUAUCCAAAGCAUAACAUUUUGUUUGAGUCUCUUUAGAAGUUGAACAUCUGAAAAACAUUAAAAAUAAUAGAAUUAUAAUAGAAAUGUCUAUCAUAACAAAAACAAGAGUAGAGCAAGAAUGUGCAAAUUACUUCUCCCCGUCAGUAAAGUAAAAAGCAACUUGAAUUAUUCUAAACCCAGGGUCUAAUGUUUCAAGAACUUAAGCUUUUUUGUCCCAUAAUAUAAUUUAAACCAACAGAUUUUUUGCUAAUCACUUCCAAACACAAAGCACUAAUUAGAUUUCUUUCAAUUUUUUAUAUCUCUCCCUGACAGUUUUCUCACUGUAUUUUGACAAGGGUAGGGAGAUAUACACAGUCAUAAUGUUAAUGCAAUGCCCUCUGGUACUGUUUAUCCUUAACAUACAAAAGGAAAUUGUCAGCACCCCAUAACUAACAAAUAGCAAAACAUAAGAGAUAACCAGUUAGGUUUCUUUGGGUGAUUUAAAAUAUAUAUUACUUUGAAAUGAAAAGAUUUUCAAUUAAUUCAUAAAAAUACUCUCAAAAUCCAAGGUGCUUGAAAAAUCAGGUUUUCCUGGAUUUGAAUUUAAGCUGAAUGGAUACAGCUGUACUUUGGUUUCUAUAUUUUGCCAAACUGCAUAUUGCUAAACUCAAAAAUACACAAAGUUGUGGAUUAAAAUUGACAUACAAAGCAUUUUUUCUUUUUUUCUGUUUUCUUUCAAAUUGGCAGACUGAUAUAGAAAUUGGACAGACUUAUGACAAAAUACAUGUUAUAGAAUUGAAGGGGGCUGGUGUAGCCACACCUAUUCCUUACUGUUGUUUGUCCUUUAAUUUAGUGCCCACAUAUGGAGAAAACACACAUUUGCACUCCAAAAUGCCAACUGCAUCCAGUCUGGUCAUUGCAGCCUGGUGAAAGUUGUUGCUGUUGUUCUUGACAUCCUUCAACAAAUUUCUGACUUAGAACAACUGUCAAGAUUGGUUCAGAGGGGGUUGGCCAUUGUUAUCCUCUGAAAAAACUAUUAUUCACACCACAGGAUUAUUUGUUUUAUUUUAUUUAUUUACAGUAUUUAUAUUCCGCCCUUCUCAUCCCGAAGGGGACUCAGGGCGGAUCACAUUAUACACACAUAGGGCAAACAUUCAAUGUCCAUAAACACAUCAAACAGAGACCGAGACAGACAGACGCAGAGGCAAUUUAACCUUCUUCUGAGGGGAUGUUCGAUUCUGGCCACAGGGGGGAGCAGCUGCUUCAUCAUCCAUACUGACGGCACUUCCUCAUUCCAGGUUGUAAAUUAGUUAAACUUGCCUCCCCACUUUUAUAAGUGGUACCUUAUUUCCUACUUGAUAGAUGCAACUAUCUUUUGGGUUGCUAGGUCAGCAACGAGCAGGGGCUAUUUUUUAUUUUUUAUUGACGGGUGCUCACCCCGCCACGGGCUGGCCUC